AAAAUGGCGGAGGCUUCGAAAUCUACAAUGAGCGAACCAGACUGUUGUGCCGGUGCCCGGUCUACAAAAUGCGCACAUACCUCGUGAUUGGGAACCAGCGACAAAUCAGUAUAGUGCAUGCUGGGUAGCACGAGUUUGUACGGUCUCUUGUGCACGGGACGUUGAUGUGAGUAGAUGUGUUUAUGUGCCUAUGUCCCAAUGUGAGUAUUGUGUGAGGAAUUGUGAGCCUGUAUAUUUUAUAUGGUAUUGUAUUGUAUAUAUGUGUCUGUAACUGUGAGCCUGUAACUGUGAACCUGUGCGUGUAACCCUGAGUACGAUAGUAGUUCCAGAGGGUUAAGCCUGUGCAUGUUAGCCAGUGUCUAGCUGUGAGCCUGUGUGUAUUGUAUUAUAUUGUAUUUUAUGUGUGUUCAACACGUAUUUACCUGGAAGGCCAUUCCCAGAAGAUAUAAGUGAGUCUGUGACUGUGUAUGUGAGUCUGUGAGUUGCCUGUGAUUGUGUCAAUGACACGCAUUUCCCUGGAGGUGUAUUCCCAGAAGUAUAUGUGUAUGUAAGCCGGUGACUGUGUGUUUAAGUACGUAUUUGCCUGGAGGUGUAUUCCCAGAAGAACAUGUAUAAGUUCCAUUCUGUGACGUGCAACCGACGAGACGAGCCGUAGCCGACGAGUGUCCACCCGCCGAGUCGACGAGUAUAGCCGACGAGUAUAGCCGACGAGUUCCCUCGAAGACGACGAGGACGAUUGGUGCCAUCCUGACGAGCAUUCCAGUUGAUGCCCAUGAUUCAAGUCUACAGAAGGGUAAAGGAAAACGUCCUGCCAGAAAGUUGAUACAUUAGCAACAACAACUAAGGGGACACUGGAACACCAUAGCACGUCUGACAAUGAACCUGUACUGGCUUUUGUUCCUUCAAGUUCUGAUGAGUCUGAAGGAGAACCACUCAGUGAGAGAGAGGAUGAUUUAAGAACCAAAUGAAAGGGAAAGGAAAAGAGGAAGUAAGAAAGCGAAAGGGCGCUGUUAUGUCCAUGAAGAGAAAGAAAAAAAAUCUAAGGAAAUAUUUGAAAGUCUUACAGUCACCGAAAGGAAAUAAUUUAGAUAUUGCUAGAAUUUUAUCAAAAAGGAAAGAGAAAAAGGAACAAGACCUGUGUCCAGUCCGGAGUAGUGCUCUUGUCACAGAUGCCCACAAUACGAGAGAGUGGAAGAUCGAGUUUGCUGUGGGAUGGUCCCAAAAUUAUGCUCAAGUCAAAGACCUGAGAUGACUCUAUCGGUGCUGGAAAGGAUGACCCUCUACAGUCAGCAGCAGUAUCGACAAGAUGUGUUUUCCUUUUAUGCAGAGACACUUGAAGAUGUCAAUAAAUCUUUCAGACAUGCUGCAUACAGACAAUUUACCAUCUUAAUGCAUGGGAAACUGACUGCUGGAGACAGAAGAACUGUCCCAGCAUGUUGUGUUAAAUUAAUAAGGGAGAAGUUUCCUAGUCUUUCAGGCCAGUAUACAGGCUUCAUACCAGGUGAAGGCCCAGUGUUCUAACAAUUUUGCAUAUUUAUGCCCCCCUUCAAAGAAGAGGGGGUUUAUUGUUUUGCACAUGUCGGUCCGUCCACCAGAUGGUUUCCAGUUGAUAACUUAGGAACGUUAAGGCCUAGGAUCAUGAAACUUCAUAGGUACAUUGAUCAUGACUGGCAAAUGACCCCUAUUGACUUUCAGGUCACUAGGUCAAUGGUCAGUGACUAGAAACAGUAAAACGGUUUCCAGAUGAUAACUCAAGAAUGCUUACGCCUAGGAUCUUGAAACUUCAUAGGUAAAUUGAUCAUAACUGGCAGAUGACCUCUUUAGAUUUUCAGGUCACUAGGUCAAGGUCACAAUGACUCGAAACAAUAAAAUGGUUUCCGGAUGAUAUCUCUAGAAUGCUUACGCCUAGGAUCAUGCAACUUCAUAGGUACAUUGAUAAUGACUGGCAGAUGACCCCUAUUGAUUUUCAGGUCACUAGGUCAAGCUCACAGUGACUCGAAAUAGUAAAAUGGUUUCCUGAUGAUAACUCAAGAAUAAUUAGGCCAAGGAUCAUGAAACUUCAUGGAUAGAUUGAUCAUGACUGACAGAUGACCCGGCAAAAAAACGUAUUCACACAAUGGCUGCAACUACAACUGACAGCCCAUAUGGGGGCAUGCAUGUUUUACAAACAGCCUAGUUGCUAUUCUUUUUCAUUUAUCAGACAUAGAACUUUCUUAGUUUUGAUUAUUUUUUGUUCUGGCUCCUUUUUUGAAACAUUUAUAUUUAUGCAAAUCAUUUGAAUUAUGCUUAAUCAUUUGAAUUUUUCAGUUCUAUGCAUUUUGUUUUGAAAUACCAAUUUGUGUGAAAUGUGCUAGUUUAUUAUUAAAACUUGCACAGCAGUUUUUACAUUUGGUUGCUUACUUUGGUGUCAUUUGAAUGAAAUGCCAUGAGUACUCUGGAUUGUAAGAUGAAAGAAAUAAAAGAAGCAAUGACAUAUUUCUUAAGAAUACUAUGUAAAUAAACUAAUUGAAUAUCAAAAUUCAUUUCUUGUAUACUUAUUU
Dreissena polymorpha is the source of this 2540-nucleotide long non-coding RNA. RefSeq lists it as uncharacterized. NCBI's taxonomy places the organism in Eukaryota, Metazoa, Mollusca, Bivalvia, Myida, Dreissenidae. The record is from RefSeq and is a predicted model, not a curated record. The transcript has 7 exons.